UAGUGUUGCUUUAUCAAAGCAGUGGCCUGAUAAGAGCCUGUUUAUUUGUUUACAUUCUGCGCUUGAGAGCUCGCCUUUAUAUUGAUGAAACCAAGGUAUUUUCACGAGGCUGGGGAAAAGUGCGGUGUAACCUCUAUUUCUGUUGGCUGCGAAGUUCCAGUAUUCUGUUUCCCAUUGGUUUUGGAUUAGUUUGCGGAUUGAGUUGAUAGCGUCGUUGACUGACCAUCUCAUUAUUAUAAAUGAUCCAUGAAAGGGGGCCACUUUUGCGGCGGCAUCUACCAAAGAGUUUUGGGGAAUGUCUUUAUGACCAGGUAUGUAGUGGAUCUCAACGGAGCGGAUUUGAUUAUUCUCUUUUAUUUUCAGUAGGAUGGUUUUGGCAAUGUAGCUGGGUUGAAUGGAUUUCUGAAGGGCCUGAAUGCCGCUGCGGCUGUCUGUAAGGAUGGCUAUAUUUGAAUAAUUGUGAGAUAUGGCAUGAUCUAAGGCUUUGUCUAUUGCAAUCAGUUCUGCAGUGAGCGACGAUGUAAUUUUGUUGGUAUAGAAACUGUCGAUGAACUUGGAGUUAUUGUGGAGGAAUGCAGCGCUGGAGCCUUCUAGUUUUUCUUGGAAUAGCUGAUGGAUUAUGUUCGGAUUCGCUUGAUGUUUGUUUGUUGCCGAUCCUUUAAAGAAGUUUGUGUCCGUGCAGAGCUUGAAGCAGUAGAUAUAUGUGUUGUCGUGGAGUUGGAUAUGGUUUAGAAUAUGUGAAAAUUCGUUGUAUAUUUUUGCAUAGUUUGUAUUGCAUGAUGAAUUGUGAAGUAAAGUUUUGCUAGCCGGUAAAUUGUACGCGAA
Molecule: long non-coding RNA, 825 nt
Organism: Scaptodrosophila lebanonensis
Lineage: Eukaryota; Metazoa; Arthropoda; Insecta; Diptera; Drosophilidae
Exons: 2
Source: RefSeq, a predicted model, not a curated record